GGUGAACGCUGGCGGCGUGCCUAAUACAUGCAAGUCGAGCGAACGGACGAGAAGCUUGCUUCUCUGAUGUUAGCGGCGGACGGGUGAGUAACACGUGGAUAACCUACCUAUAAGACUGGGAUAACUUCGGGAAACCGGAGCUAAUACCGGAUGAUAUUUUGAACCGCAUGGUGCAAAAGUGAAAGACGGUCUUGCUGUCACUUAUAGAUGGAUCCGCGCUGCAUUAGCUAGUUGGUAAGGUAACGGCUUACCAAGGCAACGAUGCAUAGCCGACCUGAGAGGGUGAUCGGCCACACUGGAACUGAGACACGGUCCAGACUCCUACGGGAGGCAGCAGUAGGGAAUCUUCCGCAAUGGGCGAAAGCCUGACGGAGCAACGCCGCGUGAGUGAUGAAGGUCUUCGGAUCGUAAAACUCUGUUAUUAGGGAAGAACAUAUGUGUAAGUAACUGUGCACAUCUUGACGGUACCUAAUCAGAAAGCCACGGCUAACUACGUG
RNAcentral lists this ribosomal RNA (497 nucleotides) under uncultured bacterium. RNAcentral's name for it is "partial 16S ribosomal RNA". It matches the Rfam family "Bacterial small subunit ribosomal RNA", at positions 28 to 507 of the family's 1533-position model. The record is from RNAcentral.